GGAUGCGAUCAUACCAGCACUAAAGCACCGGAUCCAUCAGAACUCCGCAGUUAAGCGUGCUUGGCGAGAGUAGUACUAGGAUGGGUGACCCCUGGGAAGUCCUCGUGUUGCAUCCC
This 116-nucleotide ribosomal RNA is filed under the name Ananas comosus (pineapple). The record is from RNAcentral. Lineage: Eukaryota; Viridiplantae; Streptophyta; Magnoliopsida; Poales; Bromeliaceae.